GUCAACUCAGGCAAGCUUGAAGCUUAAAAACCCAGAACCGUGAUUUCCUCGACAGUUCUUUUGGAUGUUAACGCCUGGAAUCAGUGGAAAUAAUCGGCUUCAGGAACUUCACAAUAUCAGCAAUAUUUCUUAGUUCAAACAUCAACCUAAAUUACUGAACUUCCUGAUUUUGUACAUACCGCACCAUAUUUGCCUUCACACCACAAUUUAUUCAUGACAGAUUACAUUUGGCAACAAAAUGAAUUUUAAGAAGCUCCGUUUCCAUUUUUUGGGGGCCAAGCAUUCCGAUACAAAACUUCUUGAUUAAGCUUAAGCUACUUUUGCAGAAAACACCUUACACAUGUUCUAAGAUAUCUACAAGAGAAGUUGUUUGAAACAUUAGGUAAUCUUGAAUAGAGGGGGCCAGGUAGCAAAGGAGGUUUUGGAGAACUCGCUCAACAAACAUGGAGAAUGUCUGAUAGAUCCCCUAUCAAAAUUUAUCACAGAAGGAGCAAGAAAGGAAACCUACGGCUAGCAUCCAUGAGUCAGCAGGAUAAGGAUGCAACCUCAUCAACAUUAGAGAUAAGACAAACAAUUCAUCCUCAGCUGUAUAUCCAGCCUAGCAUGAUUCAAUCACCAGCUAAGGAGGCUGUGAUCAAGGAAAUUCAAUCACCAAACAAGAAGGCUAUGAUCAAGGAAAUGCAACUUUAUAACAAGGCAGCAGGCAGAGAGGAAAAGCAUCGAGAAAAGCAUAUCUUCUAGGGGGUCUCGGGGGCAUAGGCCUAGGGAAGAGAUAGGCUAAGUUUGGCCAUUAUCCUUUGGUAUCGCGUUAUCAAUUAUCUAUUGUAUUAGUAAGCAAUACUUAGAAUAAGAGUACAGACAGAGGGCUGUAAUCAUUCCUUAAUCAAUAAGGCCUGAUUGGGAGUAGCUGGAGUGUGAAACUAGCAACUGUAGAAGCCGAAAGCAGGACCUGUACACACCAAAAGUCAGGUACUCAUCAAUGUCUUGAUAUUUUUCUAAACCUGCCUGCCAAAAUACAAGGUUUCAGCUUAGAAUUGAACAUUGUGUAAAGAAAUACAGCCUAUCGUAUGAUCAGAGCCAAACAUCUUAAAGAUAAGAACAUAGCUGCCCAAUUAACAGAUCGGAACUACCUAUGAGAUCUUAAAGAAACAGGUUCAAUUAUGCCUAAUAAGUAAUAAAAA
Mangifera indica (mango) is the source of this 1181-nucleotide long non-coding RNA. RefSeq lists it as uncharacterized. NCBI's taxonomy places the organism in Eukaryota, Viridiplantae, Streptophyta, Magnoliopsida, Sapindales, Anacardiaceae. The record is from RefSeq and is a predicted model, not a curated record. The transcript is spliced from 2 exons.